AUGAACGCUAGCGGCAGGCCUAAUACAUGCAAGCCGAACGGCAAGUUUGAUAGCAAUAUUGGACCUAGAGUGGCGCAAGGGUGCGUAACACGUAUGCAACCUGCCCGCGACAGGAGGAUAGCUCCCCGAAAGGGGAAUUAACCCUCCAUAACACCAUGAGAAGGCAUCUGAUUAUGGUUAAACCGCAAGGGGUCGCGGAUGGGCAUGCGGUUGAUUAGCUAGUUGGCGGGGUAAAGGCCCACCAAGGCGGUGAUCAAUAGGGGUUCUGAGAGGAAGGUCCCCCACACUGGCACUGGGAUACGGGCCAGACUCCUACGGGAGGCAGCAGUAGGGAAUAUUGGGCAAUGGUUGCAAGACUGAUCCAGCCAUGCCGCGUGCAGGAAGAAGGCCUUCUGGGUCGUAAACUGCUUUUUCCUGUGGAUAAAAUACCCGUGCGCGGGGAAUUGAAGGUAACAGGGGAAUAAGCCACGGCUAACUACGUG
Molecule: ribosomal RNA, 482 nt
Filed under: uncultured bacterium
Lineage: Bacteria
Description: partial 16S ribosomal RNA
Rfam family: Bacterial small subunit ribosomal RNA
Source: RNAcentral